UUUCCUGCUCAAAUUAGGGGUUUGGCAUGAUUUUAUUUGCUUUUUUAUUUUUUUAACCUUCUGCUGUAAUUUACUUUCAAAUCACUAUUGACUCUGGAAUAGCUUUGUAUUUGUCCUGUCGCUAGGAAGAAUCAAUGACCAAACCGAAAGAUUUUUUAGACAUUACUUUCGGCUUCCUACAAAAGAGAAAGUUACCCUAAAUUUGUGCCUGCUAUAACUAUCGUGCUUAGAAGCUCUGUUGUAUUCGUUUGCUGCAUAAUCGCUGGGUUUUUCUUCAACUUUCUAAUUUCAAAUGCUUUUUCUUUGUCGUCUAAAAAGUAUUGGGAGUGGAGCAGAAUUUAAUAUUUUUUACUUUUUCAAUUUUAGGACCAAUUGUGAGUUAAUUGAAUUGAUAAUGGUGGAUAAUUAGUGUGCGGCAAAACUGGAUUCCCCUGUCCCUGUGAGCCUGUACUAGGAAAAAAAAAAUAGGGAAAAAGGGGUUCUUUCUCUUAGUGACUUAACCCUAAUCAAUAUGGCAUUGACAUGCUUUUGUUUGGUCUGACAUGCGGAUGUAUGGUUACAAACUGAAUUUAAAGUUCUUUUACUUCAUCUUUUUUCACGUAAGUGGCCUGCUAGGUUUACGCGAUUCCAAAUAUGAUGAAAUUGAGCUGAUAAUGGUUGAUAAUUGAAGUAGUUUGCACUAACAGGGGAUUCCCUGUAGCUGCAACAUCAGUGCUGUAUAUGUGAUUGGAAACAUUGUAAAUUAGAGAAAUCUGAUAUUUUAUUCAUCAUCUUGACUUAUCUAAGCUGCUUAUAUGCAUUGAUUUCUGAUGUUAAAACUUUUCCUCUAAUUUUUUAUUUUAUGUUGGUCAUUUUCUGAUUCUAACUGUUCCUGUAUUUGUCAUGAACCAGUUCAUUAAGUAUCUAUGUAUAUGCAUGGGCAACAUUUAUCCACUAUCCAAUUUGCACAUUUGCUGGGUUGAGAAGCUAGGCCCUUUGCUUAGGCUAAUUUCAAUCUUGGGGAUGUAUACUGUCUUCUGCUUCCUGAUUGAAUUGUUGUCUUUCACUUUUUACCCAUGCUUUAAUUUUUUUGUUACCUUACAAUUACAAUGAUAUUGCUGCAUACGCCCCAAUGUGUAAGGUUGACGCAGCAGUUCUCCAGUGCCAGAAUCAAAAACUUGUCCAGCAAUUAGAUAUUCAGAAACAUGAGUUGCAUGAUCUUGAAACCAAAAUUAAAGAUUUAAAAGACAAGCAAACCUCUUAUGAUGAUAUGUUGAUAACUGUGAAUCAACUUUGGAAUCAGAAUACGAGAUGGACUGGACCAAAAUGCUUUAGAAAUCUUGGACCAUGCAAAUGAUUCUUGAGGUUUGAUCAGAAGUUUAAUUGUUAGCAAACCUCUUAUGAUGAUAUGUUGAUAACUGUGAAUCAACUUUGGAAUCAGUUGGUUGAUGAUUUGAUCCUGGUCAGAAUACGAGAUGGACUGGACCGAAAUGCUUUAGAAAUCUUGGACCAUGCAAAUUAUUCUUGAGACAACAUUAUGCAGCUUUCUAAGAUUGAUGAUAUGAUGAGAGAGGAGGCUAAAACUUUGUGUGAGGAGAGCUGGAAGAAAUGAUGGCUAAACUUGAAGAAAGCAAAAGAAAACCAGUCAAUCUGAAAAUGCAGAAAAAUAUAGCAUCUGGGAUGCGUGCAUCAACUCCAGUUGCAGCAAAUGGCAACUUGUCACCAGAAAAGACUUCAGAUAAGACAAUGGGGUUGUGGGAGAUAAAGGAUUCGAUUGAGGAGACAAAGAUAGCGGCAGCAGAUUGACUUUCUAAACUUCAAGAUGCACAGGAACAGAACCUACUCGAUUCAAAGCAACUGAAGGAUCUUCAGGUUUGCUUGGAUUAUUGACCUCUGAAAGUUGAUUUUCUUAUUUGUUGAAAUACAUUUUUGAAUGAUGCUAUGUGUUCUAGUAAUUUAAUUUAUAAGAUUUUAUUCUCUUAGAAUGAACUGAAGGAUGACAAAUUCAUACAAUCCUCUCGGCUGUACACUUUGUUAAAUGAUCAGCUCCAGCAUUGGAAUGCUGAAAUGGAAAAAUAGAAAGCACUGACCGAUGCUUUGCGGGUUAAACUGCUUGUUUUACCUUUUCACAUGUUUCAAAUGUUCGAGUACUUUUUGGUCUGUUUUGAAAGUAUAAUUUCAGACUGACAGGUUUCUUGUCAUGAGGAGGGAGAAGGAACUGAAUAUAAAAGUUGAGUCAGCAGAUGCUGCUAGGAAUACAAUUGAUAAUGCUGAUUCUAGAAUCAAAGAGCUCGAGCUGCAGCUCCAGAAGUGUAUCAUAGAAAGAAAUGAUCUUGAGAUUAAAAUGGAAGAAGCUACCCAAGAUGCCAGAAGAAACGAUAUUAAAGAAGAAUUUCAGUGUCAUGGCAUCAGCUCUGUCCAAGGAAAUAGGAAUGAUGGAAGCUCAGUUGAAUCGCUGGAAGGAGACAGCGCACAAAGUGAUUUCCUUGCAUGCAGAAGCCCAGGCACUAAAAGCUUUGUUAAGUGAUAAGCUUUUUAUCUUGUCCUUAAUGGUUCUUUUGGGGGGAAUAAAAUUUGAAAGUUGUGAUACAUAGAUAAAAUGUCAGUUCAUUCUCUAAUCAUUCAACUUUUGUCAAAAGUUUUCCAAUAGACAAACCAACAAAAGCACUUGGCAGAAGAUUGUGCUGAAUAGAUUGUUGAAAUCAAAUCUCUCAAUGAUUUGAUUGAGAAAUUGCAGAAGGAAAAAUUGGAGCUGCAAAUCUUCUUGGACAUGUAUGGCCAAGAAGGCUAUGAUAGUAGAGAUGUGAUGGAAAUAAGAGAAUCAGAAAAUAAAGCUCAUUCACAAGCUGAAGUCUUGAAAAAUGCUCUGGAUUAACAUAGUCUAGAACUGAGUGAAAGCUGCUAAUCAGGCUGAGGUUGCUUGCGAACAAAGGCUUUUGCUGAAGCUGAAAUAGCUGAGUUAAGAGCUAAACUGGACGCUUCUAAGAGGAUGUUUUGAUGCUCAUAGAGGCUAUUAAAAGAAAAUAUUGAGAGUCAAAGACAUACAUUUCUGAAAUUAAGACCAUUGCCCAUACAAAGAUACGCAGACACAGAACCAGCAUUUGUUGCAGCAGAUGGCUGAGAAAGAUGACUACAAUAUUAAGCUUGUCUCUGAGAGUGUAAAGACAAAGCAGGCACAUAGUUUCUUUCUCUCUGACAAGCAGACAUUAGCAAGGCAACUUUAGUAGGCCAAUUCAUCAAUUGAAUCCAUGAAAAUGAGGAUUGCACAGAGUGAAGAGCCGGUAAAAUUAGUUAGUACUCUGCUACUAAAACUUGUUUCACAAAUUUACCUUCUAGAUGGAUUUACUUGUUUGUAUUUUUUUAUCAACUUAUAGUUAAACACUUGUAGAUGAAAGUUUGUCUGAUAGAUGCUAUUAAAUUCACUCAAGCGGACAAGAUAUUGUUUUUUAUUAGCCUUAAACUGCAAAGUGGGAGUUGGCAGAUACUGAGAAGGAGUUGAAGUGCCUUAAAUCUACUGCAACAUCUUAUGAGAAGGAUUAUGAGCAGCUCCAGUGGAAGGUGGAUGAGUUCCAAGUGAAGUUGGAUAAGGAACGGUUGUAAUUGUGACAUGCUAUCAUCUAUUUUGCAAUCCAUGUAUACAGAGAAAUUUAGAGAUACGCCAUAGGAAGUGCCCGGCUGUGGAGCUGCAUUUUGUCAGAAUGAUGUUCGGUUUGUGAAAAUAUGAAAGAGUUAUCCCAUGGUUUGUACUUUUGUGAUUUAGGUUGGUCGAAGUUAGCAUCUGAAAAUCAAGGAUGGCUCCAUAGUUAUGGAAAUAAUUUUUUUAUGUAAUUAUUUAAUUGUAAAAGGAAAUUGAACGAGGUAAAUCUUCAGAAUUUUGUUUCAUUUGGAUGUUUGACCACGUGGUUAUCUAGUUU
Molecule: non-coding RNA, 3893 nt
Organism: Durio zibethinus
Lineage: Eukaryota; Viridiplantae; Streptophyta; Magnoliopsida; Malvales; Malvaceae
Source: RefSeq, a predicted model, not a curated record